Molecule: ribosomal RNA, 120 nt
Filed under: Olea europaea subsp. europaea
Lineage: Eukaryota; Viridiplantae; Streptophyta; Magnoliopsida; Lamiales; Oleaceae
Source: RNAcentral
AUAACUGAACUCGUGCCACGUUAAAUUCACUAGUUUUCUUCCGAUAACUGAAGUCAAGUAACUCUGGACGUGGUCAGUACUUAAAUGGGUGACCGCCUGGGAGGUCACGAGUUGGUGGAU